Molecule: small RNA, 73 nt
Filed under: Pantoea ananatis
Lineage: Bacteria; Pseudomonadati; Pseudomonadota; Gammaproteobacteria; Enterobacterales; Erwiniaceae
Description: RtT RNA
Source: RNAcentral
CUUCUACGGGAAUAGGGAUGGAGAACCUUCGACUAAGGUUCGAGUCGAGCAUCGCGAGACAACGCGCGUCAGC